Molecule: ribosomal RNA, 429 nt
Filed under: Pseudomonadota bacterium
Lineage: Bacteria; Pseudomonadati; Pseudomonadota
Description: Proteobacteria bacterium partial 16S ribosomal RNA
Rfam family: Bacterial small subunit ribosomal RNA
Source: RNAcentral
UGGGGAAUAUUGGACAAUGGGCGAAAGCCUGAUCCAGCCAUGCCGCGUGUGUGAAGAAGGUCUUCGGAUUGUAAAGCACUUUAAGUUGGGAGGAAGGGCAGUAAGCGAAUACCUUGCUGUUUUGACGUUACCGACAGAAUAAGCACCGGCUAACUCUGUGCCAGCAGCCGCGGUAAUACAGAGGGUGCAAGCGUUAAUCGGAAUUACUGGGCGUAAAGCGCGCGUAGGUGGUUCGUUAAGUUGAAUGUGAAAGCCCCGGGCUCAACCUGGGAACUGCAUCCAAAACUGGCGAGCUAGAGUAGGGCAGAGGGUGGUGGAAUUUCCUGUGUAGCGGUGAAAUGCGUAGAUAUAGGAAGGAACACCAGUGGCGAAGGCGACCACCUGGGCUCAUACUGACACUGAGGUGCUAAAGCGUGGGGAGCAAACAGG